UACGUAGGUGACAAGCGUUGUCCGGAAUUAUUGGGCGUAAAGAGCUCGUAGGCGGUUUGUCGCGUCUGCUGUGAAAACCCGGAGCUCAACUCCGGGCCUGCAGUCGAUACGGGCGGACUCGAGUUCGGCAGGGGAGACUGGAAUCCUGGUGUAGCGGUGAAAUGCGCAGAUAUCAGGAGGAACACCGGUGGCGAAGGCGGGUCUCUGGGCCGAAUGACUGACGCUGGAGGAGCGAAAGCGUGGGGAGCGAACAGG
RNAcentral lists this ribosomal RNA (255 nucleotides) under uncultured bacterium. RNAcentral's name for it is "partial 16S ribosomal RNA". It matches the Rfam family "Bacterial small subunit ribosomal RNA", at positions 524 to 776 of the family's 1533-position model. The record is from RNAcentral.